This 601-nucleotide ribosomal RNA is filed under the name uncultured bacterium. RNAcentral's name for it is "partial 16S ribosomal RNA". It matches the Rfam family "Bacterial small subunit ribosomal RNA", at positions 355 to 1375 of the family's 1533-position model. The record is from RNAcentral.
UGGGGAAUUUUGGACAAUGGGCGAAAGCCUGAUCCAGCAAUGCCGCGUGUGUGAAGAAGGCCUUCGGGUUGUAAAGCACUUUUGUCCGGAAAGAAAUCCUUGGCUCUAAUACAGUCGGGGGAUGACGGUACCGGAAGAAUAAGCACCGGCUAACUACGUGCCAGCAGCCGCGGUAAUACGUAGGGUGCAAGCGUUAAUCGGAAUUACUGGGCGUAAAGCGUGCGCAGGCGGUUUGCUAAGACCGAUGUGAAAUCCCCGGGCUCAACCUGGGAACUGCAUUGGUGACUGGCAGGCUAGAGUAUGGCAGAGGGGGGUAGAAUUCCACGUGUAGCAGUGAAAUGCGUAGAGAUGGUGGAAGGCAAUGACCGAAUGGGCGAAGGCCCAGGCCCCCAUGGGCCAAUACUGACGCUCAUGCACGAAAAGCGUGGGGAGCAAAACAGGAUUAGAUACCCUGGUAGUCCACGCCCUAAAACGAUGUCAACUAGUUGUUGGGGAUUCAUUUCCUUAGUAACGUAGCUAACGCGUGAAAGUUGACCGCCUGGGGAGUACGGUCGCAAAGAUUAAAAACUCAAAGGAAUUGACGGGGUCAUAGCUGUUUCCU